Molecule: ribosomal RNA, 432 nt
Filed under: uncultured fungus
Lineage: Eukaryota; Fungi
Description: eukaryotic LSU rRNA
Rfam family: Eukaryotic large subunit ribosomal RNA
Source: RNAcentral
GACCUCGGAUCAGGUAGGAAUACCCGCUGAACUUAAGCAUAUCAAUAAGCGGAGGAAAAGAAACCAACAGGGAUUACCCUAGUAACGGCGAGUGAAGCGGUAACAGCUCAAAUUUGAAAUCUGGCCUUCACGGGUCCGAGUUGUAAUUUGUAGAGGAUGUUUCGGGCAAGGCUCUGGUUUAAAUUUCUUGGAACAGAAUGUCAUGGAGGGUGAGAGUCCCGUCUAGAACCGAUGGCCGCGUCCAUGUGAAACUCCUUCGACGAGUCGAGUUGUUUGGGAAUGCAGCUCAAAAUGGGUGGUAAAUUUCAUCUAAAGCUAAAUAUUGGCCAGAGACCGAUAGCGCACAAGUAGAGUGAUCGAAAGAUGAAAAGCACUUUGAAAAGAGAGUUAAACAGUAUGUGAAAUUGUUGAAAGGGAAGCGCUUGCAACCAG